AACGUUUGUAGUCCUCGGCGUCAGGAAUGAAACGGCUGGCGGCGGUAGCUUAACUACAUGCAAGUCGAACGAAGCGAUUUAGUCGGAAGUUUUCGGAUGGAAGCUAGAUUGACUGAGUGGCGGACGGGUGGAGUAACGCGUGGGUAACCUGCCUCAUACAGGGGGAUAACAGUUAGAAAUGACUGCUAAUACCGCAUAAGCGCACGAGGAUGCAUGUUCUUGUGUGAAAAACUCCGGUGGUAUGAGAUGGACCCGCGUCUGAUUAGCUAGUUGAGGGGUAACGGCCCACCAAGGCGACGAUCAGUAGCCGACCUGAGAGGGUGACCGGCCACAUUGGGACUGAGACACGGCCCAAACUCCUACGGAAGGCAGCAGUGGGGAAUAUUGCACAAUGGGGGAAACCCUGAUGCUGCAACGCCGCGUGAGUGAAGAAGUAUUUCGGUAUGUAAAGCUCUAUCAGCAGGGAAGAAGAUGACGGUACCUGAGUAAGAAGCCCCGGCUAACUACGUG
This 510-nucleotide ribosomal RNA is filed under the name uncultured Lachnospiraceae bacterium. Its description in RNAcentral is "bacterial SSU rRNA". It matches the Rfam family "Bacterial small subunit ribosomal RNA", at positions 1 to 507 of the family's 1533-position model. Lineage: Bacteria; Bacillati; Bacillota; Clostridia; Lachnospirales; Lachnospiraceae. The record is from RNAcentral.